UACGUAGGGGGCAAGCGUUGUCCGGAAUUAUUGGGCGUAAAGAGCGUGUAGGCGGCCCGGCAAGUCCGCCGUGAAAGUCCAGGGCUCAACCCUGGAAUGCCGGUGGAAACUGUCGGGCUUGAGUUCGGAAGAGGCGAGUGGAAUUCCUGGUGUAGCGGUGAAAUGCGCAGAUAUCAGGAGGAACACCGGUGGCGAAGGCGGGUCUCUGGGCAACAACUGACGCUGAGGAGCGAAAGCGUGGGGAGCGAACAGG
RNAcentral lists this ribosomal RNA (253 nucleotides) under uncultured bacterium. RNAcentral describes it as "partial 16S ribosomal RNA". It matches the Rfam family "Bacterial small subunit ribosomal RNA", at positions 524 to 776 of the family's 1533-position model. The record is from RNAcentral.